This 497-nucleotide ribosomal RNA is filed under the name uncultured bacterium. RNAcentral's name for it is "partial 16S ribosomal RNA". It matches the Rfam family "Bacterial small subunit ribosomal RNA", at positions 28 to 507 of the family's 1533-position model. The record is from RNAcentral.
GAUGAACGCUGGCGGCGUGCCUAAUACAUGCAAGUCGAGCGAACAGACGAGGAGCUUGCUCCUCUGACGUUAGCGGCGGACGGGUGAGUAACACGUGGAUAACCUACCUAUAAGACUGGGAUAACUUCGGGAAACCGGAGCUAAUACCGGAUAAUAUAUUGAACCGCAUGGUUCAAUAGUGAAAGACGGUUUUGCUGUCACUUAUAGAUGGAUCCGCGCCGCAUUAGCUAGUUGGUAAGGUAACGGCUUACCAAGGCGACGAUGCGUAGCCGACCUGAGAGUGUGAUCGGCCACACUGGAACUGAGACACGGUCCAGACUCCUACGGGAGGCAGCAGUAGGGCAUCUUCCGCACUGGGCGAAAGCCUGACGGAGCAACGCCGCGUGAGUGAUGAAGGUCUUCGGAUCGUAAAACUCUGUUAUUAGGGAAGAACAAAUGUGUAAGUAACUAUGCACGUCUUGACGGUACCUAAUCAGAAAGCCACGGCUAACUACGUG